RNAcentral lists this long non-coding RNA (306 nucleotides) under Bos taurus (domestic cattle). RNAcentral's name for it is "long non-coding RNA NONBTAT018381". The record is from RNAcentral. Lineage: Eukaryota; Metazoa; Chordata; Mammalia; Artiodactyla; Bovidae.
GGGGUGUGCCUGGUUUAUAUUCAAUAAAUACACUUACACUGAAUGAUGAAACAGUUUAUAUAUAAACUUCAGAAAUUCAGUGAAAACACUUUCUUCAAGAGCUUAUUCUUAUCAGAUAGAAAGGAAUGGCUUCUAGUGAGACAAGAGUAGGUAAGGUUUGAAAAGUCACAUUUUAUAAAAGACAAAAACUUGUGCCAGUCCCCUAGACAUGUUAGAGUAUGUCUUAUGUAGUUUCACUACCAGAAACGUCAGACAAAACCUUAAUAUGUAUCCCUGAGCAAUGAAUAAAUGUAUAAAAUGUUCUAC